Acanthosepion pharaonis is the source of this 110-nucleotide non-coding RNA. Lineage: Eukaryota; Metazoa; Mollusca; Cephalopoda; Sepiida; Sepiidae. The record is from the annotation of a GenBank genome assembly.
GACCAUAUCAAACUGAAACACCAUUUCCCAUACAACCACCAGAAUUAAGCAACAUCGCGCCUUGUCAGUACUUAUAUGGGUGAACAUUUGGGAAUACCAGGUACCGUAAG